AACGAACGCUGGCGGCAGGCCUAAAACAUGCAAGUCGAACGCCCCGCAAGGGGAGUGGCGCACGGGUGAGUAACGCGUGGGAACGUGCCCCUUAGUACGGGUCAACGUCGGGGAACUGACGCUAAUACCGUAUAAUAUCUCCGGAUCAAAGAUUUAUCGCUGAGGGAGCGGCCCGCGUCUGAUUAGCUAGUUGGUGAGGUAAAGGCUCACCAAGGCUACGAUCAGUAGCAGGUCUGAGAGGAUGAUCUGCCACACUGGGACUGAGACACGGCCCAGACUCCUACGGGAGGCAGCAGUUAGGAAUAUUGGACAAUGGGGGAAACCCUGAUCCAGCCAUGCCGCGUGUGUGAUGAAGGCCCUAGGGUUGUAAAGCACUUUCGUUGGGGAUGAUAAUGACCGUACCCAAAGAAGAAGCCACGGCUAUAUUCGUGCCAGCCGCCGCCGUAA
This 447-nucleotide ribosomal RNA is filed under the name uncultured bacterium. Its description in RNAcentral is "partial 16S ribosomal RNA". It matches the Rfam family "Bacterial small subunit ribosomal RNA", at positions 29 to 523 of the family's 1533-position model. The record is from RNAcentral.